AGGCACCCGACCGCUGGCACAGCCUCUCCUUCUGGGGGCUCCGGAGCAGGCAGCUGUCUUCCCCUUCACGCACUCCAGCUGACCCUAGAAGGAAGCAGAGGGACGGCGACAAGUGGCCAGUGUGGUUUUCCCCCUUUCUCCCUGGGUUCUGGCCCCUGAGGUCUGCUCCAGGCCCUCCAAUAAGCCAGUCUCUCUCCUGCCUUAAGGCCUUUGCUCGUGUUGUCCCCACGGCCUGUGGCCCAGCCCCGAACCUCUGACCUGUUGCUUCCUUCAUUCUUCGGAGAGCAGUUGAAUCUCCACACUGCAGAGGGCCCCGGAUCUUCUUGAAUCAGUGGCCUAAUGUGUAGCUGGUGUUACCCAAACAUGGACGGAUUCCCCUUGGCUGCGGAGCCAAGUAAGUGAUUUCUGCGACUGGAAGAAAAUGAGGACUCAAAAUAGGUAGGUGCCAACUGCAAGCUGCGGGGGAAAAAAGAAGAAAUGAAUAAA
Balaenoptera musculus (blue whale) is the source of this 486-nucleotide long non-coding RNA. RefSeq lists it as uncharacterized. The transcript is spliced from 3 exons. The record is from RefSeq and is a predicted model, not a curated record. Lineage: Eukaryota; Metazoa; Chordata; Mammalia; Artiodactyla; Balaenopteridae.